UACGGAGGGGACUAGCGUUGUUCGGAAUUACUGGGCGUAAAGCGCGCGUAGGCGGACUAUUAAGUCAGGGGUGAAAUCCCGGGGCUCAACCCCGGAACUGCCUUUGAUACUGGUAGUCUAGAGUCCGGAAGAGGUGAGUGGAAUUCCACGUGUAGCGGUGAAAUGCGUAGAGAUGUGGAGGAACACCAGUGGCGAAGGCGGCUCACUGGCCAGAUACUGACGCUGAGGUGCGAAAGUGUGGGGAGCAAACAGG
RNAcentral lists this unclassified non-coding RNA (253 nucleotides) under uncultured Rhodobacterales bacterium. Its description in RNAcentral is "contains 16S-23S intergenic spacer region". It matches the Rfam family "Bacterial small subunit ribosomal RNA", at positions 524 to 776 of the family's 1533-position model. The record is from RNAcentral. Lineage: Bacteria; Pseudomonadati; Pseudomonadota; Alphaproteobacteria; Rhodobacterales.